RNAcentral lists this ribosomal RNA (818 nucleotides) under uncultured Bacillota bacterium. Its description in RNAcentral is "bacterial SSU rRNA". It matches the Rfam family "Bacterial small subunit ribosomal RNA", at positions 63 to 911 of the family's 1533-position model. Lineage: Bacteria; Bacillati; Bacillota. The record is from RNAcentral.
CGAACGAGAAAGCCGGGGCAACCUGGUGAGUAAAGUGGCGUACGGGUGAGUAACACGUGGAUCAUCUGCCUUCUGGUGGGGAAUAACCCUGGGAAACCGGGGCUAAUACCGCAUAAGCCCGAGAGGGGAAAGCAGCAAUGCGCUGGAAGAGGAGUCCGCGGCCGAUUAGCUAGUUGGUGAGGUAAUGGCUCACCAAGGCAAAGAUCGGUAGCCGGCCUGAGAGGGCACACGGCCACACUGGCACUGAAACACGGGCCAGACUCCUACGGGAGGCAGCAGUGGGGAAUCUUGCACAAUGGGGGAAACCCUGAUGCAGCGACGCCGCGUGAGCGAUGAAGCCCUUCGGGGUGUAAAGCUCUUUCGGCAGGAACGAUUAUGACGGUACCUGCAGAAGAAGCUGCGGCUAACUACGUGCCAGCAGCCGCGGUAAUACGUAGGCAGCAAGCGUUGUUCGGAGUUACUGGGCGUAAAGAGUGUGUAGGCGGUUCUCUAAGUUCGGUGUGAAAUCUCCCGGCUUAACUGGGAGGGUGCGCCGAAAACUGGGGGGCUCGAGUAUGGGAGAGGAAAGCGGAAUUCCUGGUGUAGCGGUGAAAUGCGUAGAUAUCAGGAGGAACACCUGCGGUGUAGACGGCUUUCUGGACCAUCACUGACGCUGAGACACGAAAGCGUGGGGAGCAAACAGGAUUAGAUACCCUGGUAGUCCACGCCCUAAACGAUGCAUACUUGGUGUGAGCCAUUCAGUUGGUUCGUGCCGGAGCUAACGCGUUAAGUAUGCCGCCUGGGGAAUUACGGUCCCAAGGCUGAAACUCAAAGGAAUU